RNAcentral lists this ribosomal RNA (467 nucleotides) under uncultured bacterium. RNAcentral's name for it is "partial 16S ribosomal RNA". It matches the Rfam family "Bacterial small subunit ribosomal RNA", at positions 28 to 506 of the family's 1533-position model. The record is from RNAcentral.
GAUGAACGCUGGCGGCGUGCUUAACACAUGCAAGUCGAACGGAAAGGCCCAAGCUUGCUUGGGUACUCGAGUGGCGAACGGGUGAGUAACACGUGGGUGAUCUGCCCUGCACUUCGGGAUAAGCCUGGGAAACUGGGUCUAAUACCGGAUAGGACGAUGUGUUGGAUGCCAUUGUGGAAAGUUUUUUCGGUGUGGGAUGAGCUCGCGGCCUAUCAGCUUGUUGGUGGGGUAAUGGGCUACCAAGGCGUCGACGGGGAGCCGGCCUGAGAGGGUGUACGGCCACAUUGGGGCUGAGAUACGGGCCAGACUCCUAAGGGAGGGAGCGGUGGGGAAUAUUGCAAAAUGGGCGCAAGCCUGAUGCAGCGACGCCGCGUGGGGGAUGACGGCCUUCGGGUUGUAAACUCCUUUCGCUAGGGACGAAGCGUUUUUGUGACGGUACCUGGAGAAGAAGCACCGGCUAACUACGU